Notechis scutatus (mainland tiger snake) is the source of this 525-nucleotide non-coding RNA. Lineage: Eukaryota; Metazoa; Chordata; Lepidosauria; Squamata; Elapidae. The record is from RefSeq and is a predicted model, not a curated record.
CAGAGAAUUGCCACGCGCAGGUGAGUAACUGCCACAGUCCUUGCGCUGAAGGCUCUCAAAUAUCAUCGGCAACGUUUGAAGAAGAGAUUAGACAACCAUUUGUCUGAAAUGGUUUAGGCUUUCCUGCCAGAACAGGGGGAUGGACUAGACGACCUCCAAGGCCCCUUCCAACUCUAGUAUUGUGUUUUAUUAUUCCGUCCUUCUUUCUAUGAUCCCUUCAAGCCCAAAGGGAGUCUGGAACGUUAGAGGAUCUCCUGCCACUUGCAGGAGGGGAUGGACUAGAAGACCCCCGAGGUCUCUUCCAACCCUAGGAUUCUAGGUUCUGUGAUCCCCAGGUGAGGUCUUACAUAUCCAAGUCGUCUACCGGUGUCCCACUACCUCCUGGACCGCAGUAGCAACCGUAGUUCAUAUAAUCCAAAGAAGGUCGACUGCCAUGGUUGGCACAUUGAAUCAUGUUGCCGAAUUGUGCAAGGUUGAGAGGCAGCGGAGGAAUGCUGGCGGCUCCUAAGAGGGAGACACAAACUG